RNAcentral lists this ribosomal RNA (1321 nucleotides) under metagenome. Its description in RNAcentral is "bacterial LSU rRNA". It matches the Rfam family "Bacterial large subunit ribosomal RNA", at positions 1561 to 2925 of the family's 2925-position model. The record is from RNAcentral.
AGUGGAUGGGGAGCAACCUAGUUGUGCGUGUGUAAAGGUAGUGCCAAGAAAAGCGAUGAUCAUGUUGAAAAUCAAUUCCCGGUACCCGAAACCGACACAGGUGGGCAAGUAGAGAAUACUAAGGGGCGCGAGGUAACUCUCUCCAAGGAACUCGGCAAAAUGACCCCGUAACUUAGGGAGAAGGGGUGCCACCGAGAGGUGGUCGCAGUGAAGAGGCCCAGGCGACUGUUUAGCAAAAACAUAGGUCUCUGCAAACUCGAAAGAGGAGGUAUAGGGGCUGACGCCUGCCCAGUGCCGGAAGGUUAAAGAAGUUGGUCAGUUUUAGGAUGAAGCUAGCGACUGAAGCCCCGGUGAACGGCGGCCGUAACUAUAACGGUCCUAAGGUAGCGAAAUUCCUUGUCGGGUAAGUUCCGACCCGCACGAAAGGCGUAACGAUCUGGGCGCUGUCUCGGAGAGAGGCUCGGCGAAAUAGGAUUGUCUGUGAAGAUACGGACUACCUGCAUUUGGACAGAAAGACCCUAUGAAGCUUUACUAUAGCUUGGAAUUGUGUUCGGGCUUCCUGUGCGCAGGAUAGGUGGGAGGCGUAGAAGGUAUUCUUGUGGGGAUACUGGAGCCAACGGUGAGAUACCACUCUCAGGAGGCUAGAAUUCUAACUUAAUUAAGGACAGUUUCAGGUGGGUAGUUUGACUGGGGCGGUCGCCUCCAAAAAGGUAACGGAGGCGUACAAAGGUUCCCUCAGACUGGUUGGAAAUCAGUCGAAGAGUGCAAAGGCAGAAGGGAGCUUGACUGCGAGAAGUACAGUUCGAGCAGGGUGGAAACACGGUCUUAGUGAUCCGACGGUGCUGUGUUGAAGGGCCGUCGCUCAACGGAUAAAAGUUACUCUAGGAUAACAGGCUGAUCUCCCCCAAGAGUUCACAUCGACGGGGAGGUUUGGCACCUCGAUGUCGGCUCAUCGCAACCUGGGGCGGAAGUACGUCCCAAGGGUUGGGCUGUUCGCCCAUUAAAGCGGUACGUGAGCUGGGUUCAGAACGUCGUGAGACAGUUCGGUCCAUAUCCGAUGUAGGCGUGAGAAUAUUGAGAGGAGCCUUCCUUAGUACGGGAGGACCGGGAAGGACGCACCGCUGGUGUACCUGUUAUGAUGCCAAUUGUAAACGCAGGGUAGCCAAGUGCGGAGAGGAUAACCGCUGAAAGCAUCUAAGUGGGAAGCCCACCUCAAGAUGAGUAUUCUGGUGUAAGGUCACGGGAAGACGACCCGUAAAUAGGCACGAGGUGGAAGUGCAGAGAUGUAUGAAGCCGAAGUGUACUAAUAGACCGUCGGCUU